RNAcentral lists this ribosomal RNA (240 nucleotides) under uncultured bacterium. RNAcentral's name for it is "partial 16S ribosomal RNA". It matches the Rfam family "Bacterial small subunit ribosomal RNA", at positions 100 to 334 of the family's 1533-position model. The record is from RNAcentral.
CGGCACGGGUGAGUAACACGUAAGGUAAUCUACCUUCGAGUGGGGAAUAACGUCGGGAAACCGACGCUAAUACCGCAUAAUGCAGCGGCACCUAAUGGUGACAGUUGUUAAAGGAGCAAUUCGCUUGAAGAGGAGCUUGCGGCAGAUUAGCUAGUUGGUAAGGUAACGGCUUACCAAGGCUACGAUCUGUAACCGGUCUAAGAGGACGGUCGGUCACACUGACACUGAAUAACGGGUCAG